Molecule: long non-coding RNA, 32205 nt
Organism: Gallus gallus (chicken)
Lineage: Eukaryota; Metazoa; Chordata; Aves; Galliformes; Phasianidae
Exons: 4
Source: RefSeq, a predicted model, not a curated record
AAUGGCGGCGGUGGGGUUGCCCUGCUCCUGUCACUAUGCCAGCUCCCCCAGCAGAACCCCUCCCAAAACACUUUUUAGACUAUAUAUUUUUUAGCGAGUUUGCCAUCCUCUUGAAGGCUUGGGCUGUAUUGAAGCGUCCCACCUUUGCUCCCUGCCUCCAGGCCUGGGAGGCCUUUCUGGGAGGCCCUGGUGUCUGUGGGCUGUUAGCAGCCAUCUUGUUUUCAUUCCGUGUGGCACAGAUGAAUUAAGUUUUUAAUGUUCCGUACCUUUUUUUUCUUUGUAAUAGGAAAGGAUGUACAGUGAUUUCUCUGUGAACUGCUGCUGAGGCAGGCUGCUUCGUAUGCCUUUAUUAUUAUUGUUGUUAUUCUAAAGACAAAUGCUUUCAGGAGCUCCAUUUUCAUUUCCCGGCACCUUUCAUUUCUUUUGGCUGGCCAUCAGCAGCUGAGGAGGUGUCAUAAAACCAUGGAAGGAAGCAAAUGUACAGCAGCCUGUUUCACCUGAGCAGAUGUAGAAUUGCACUCAUUAAGGAAGUACAUUUAGGCGUAAAACACAGCUCUUAAAAACAGCAUAAGAGCUUUCACCAGGGAUAAAGAUUGCUUUGACCUUCAGAGGCUGACGUGAAGUGCAGUGUUUAUUAAUAGUUCUAGCAAGAAAGUGUCUAUACGGGGGAUGUCUUGCCUUCUAUUUCACUGAUUUGAAGAACGUUCUCACCAUUUCCUGACUUUCCUACUGAAUAGAGCUGAUGAAAAACUCCCCUACUUUUAGGUUAAUAACUGCUGGCUGAUAUUUGUGUCCAUCAAAAGAUUUCUCUGCUGCUCUGAUGAUGAAAGUGCUGCAAGACCCUGGGCUUAAUCCCAUUCAUGGUGUUUUCCAGAACGGGGAGGCGGCUCCAAGGUCUUUGUGGCAGUUCCAUGUGUGAGAAACGUUCCCUGAAGCAGAAAGGGAUUUUCUUGCACCGGGCUUUGCUCAACUUGUCAAAGAAAACAGAAUCCCACAGGAAAACUGAGUGCUUUGGGGGCAUUUCUAGUGCAGCACAGUGCUGUAAGCUUAAGGCUGAAUGGUUCCCCGGGUGGAUUUUGACCCCAGGUCCUGCUCUCUCCCCCAGAUAUGUGGUUAUGCUCUGGGAGGUUUCCUAAUGCUUCCAUGCAUGUAGCUCUGAGCAGCUGUGGUGGCUGUGAGCUUGCCCUGCUGCGUUGUGGCCGGUUUAAUGGUUGUUUGUCAGACCCACGAAAUAACCAAACAAAACCACAGACAGAAGGUGGAGAAAGCUCCGCUGAAAUUCUGCUCUGAAGAUCAUUUCGUGGUGCUGGGCAUGGGAAGGUACUUCUGAAGCAUCUCUUUGUUUCAGGCAACGCUUCCUGCCCUUUUCUACAAUCUACAUCUGCUUGUGUGUUUUUGCUCACAGUUUAUCACAGGUGUAAUCGCUGAUGCUGAGGGUUAAGCCAGUGCUCCACUGAGAACUGUGGCUGAAAGCCAUCACCAGCAAGACACACCUGUUGUGUCGCUGCGGCUUUCAAAUCUAAGCCUUUCUCUUCUUGUUGAAUAACCAGGCCACGAGGAAUAAAGCUGGCAGAGGAAGGCCAGCCUCAGGUCUUACUCUAAAACUUGAUGGAGCCAGGGCUGGGAAGGGCUGUGGUGUGGCAGCAGGACUUAGCCUUCCAACCCAGCCUGCCAGCAGAGGGAGCACAGCACAUGGCCUCACCAAAAUAGGAGCUCACUGAAGCAACCCAAACAAACUCAAACAAUUAGCAGGAUGAUUAUGGUCUUUAGCAGAAUAAACAGAACAGUCAGAAGGCAGAAGCCUUUGCCUGGCAAUGAGAUCCAGCUGCAGGCUGGAUGGGGAACAGACACUACGGCUGGCAGUGAUCAUGUUCCCUACAGUCACAUAGGCCAGUGCUGCUGGCCAGACCUUGUCCCCUUUUUCACCCUGGUUGGUAGAUCCACCUCUAUUUCCUCAUCAGAGUGCAACAGUUUAGGUUGGAGCUUCCUCUCCCACGGCACAGCACGAGAAGGGCGUGCGAGCAAUGGGCAGAGUUAUGCUCCCAGGGCUGCUGUGGUGUUAGGCUUGCACAUGGCUCUGGCCAUGUUUGGUUUUGGGGCAGAAAUAGGGGAAUUUGGGGCUUGUCUGCAAGCAGGGCAGUUCCUGCAGCCAGCAGACUGAGCUCAGCAUGGGAAGGUGGAAGUUGAUUUAGCUGUCUUGAAGAGAAUGAGAAAUAAAGCUUAACGGGAACUGAAGGGCUUCCCAGGACCUUUAUUGUCAGUGGGUUCUGCUCUCAGUGGGCUUUUCCAACAGCUUGGGCUGCUGCAGUUCUGUGCGUGGAAAGCACAGGGGAAGUACAGCUGCACUGCUCAGUGGGCAGCACGGCAGCAAGCAUUUAGCUCUGUGUUUUGUGGAGGCACUUCAGCACAGCUGUGAUGUAGCCAGGAUCUGAAUCUGGCACCAUUCCUUUCUGUAACAGGUUGGUCAUUAGGAGGAGCUCAGUGUUUGCAGGGUAUUUCCAUGAGAGCUGGGCAGCCCUUGAAACUACAGUGUGCUGCUUCCAUUGUGGAUUAAAAAUGUAGUAUCCAGCCGAGCCUUGGUAGUUUAGUUUUUAACAGGGAUUUAAGCAUUUUAAAUCCUUUCAAAGCUGUAAGUAAGAAUCAUAAUUUAAACUCUUGCAGACAGAUGUCAUGGUAAAAAUAUGAGGACUAUUUAAAAGGCUGCCUGCCUGCCUGUCCGUCUAUCUAUCACCUCCUAAUCUGCCUGACGCGUGCAAUUGCCUUUCUCUUUCAAAACACUGCAAAGCCAGGUCUGCUGAGGCGCGUGCAGCGUGACCUUAGCUCACCCAGGGCAACCCCACUGCAAGGGUGCAGCCACUCAGCGCAUCCUGCACAUUGCAUGGGGAAAGCUCUUUGGCCAAGGCACGGUUCCCUCUGCAACGAGUGGCAGAAAGGAUGGUGUUUAACUUGCCACCAGUUUGAGUUUUUCCCCUACUUCUGACAUUUGCAGAAACUCAAGCAUCUUUUGGAAGCAAGCAACCUAGAAUGAUGACAUUUUGGGUUCUUUUUUUAGGUGAACCAAUGGUAUCUUGCCUUCGCUGCCCCAUUGUAGAGAAUUAAAUGAUGCUCAGCCAAAUCAGCCUCUUACUUGGUCAAACAUUUCCAGCUGUCCUUCGCUGUCCGGCAGCGGUUGCCUUGUAUGGGAGCCACAGCUUCCAUAGAAACUCGCUGCCUCCUUGCAGAUGUUUGGGGCAGCAGAAGGGAUGGGGCUGGCACACAUGCAGCUAAUUUGGGCAUUGCAGGGAGGUCAAAGGCAAAGAAUGAUGUGGGAAUGGCACAUCUGACUUCCAAAGCUGGAUUUAAAUGAGUGAAAAAGAAAAAAUGUGGUUGGGUUACUUGUCUGAAGAACUUUAGGAAAAUGAUUUUAAAGGCAUUUUUGUAGAUAAACGAGCAGGGCUUCAUUCUGUCCUAAGAAAGGAGUCCUGGAGCUGAGUGCUGAAAUGCCUUUCAUGUCAGCAGUGGUUUCAAAGAGAACCUGAGUUCCUUUGGUGUGUGUAAUGAGGGAGUGGGGAGUCUGGCUGAGAAAAUUUGUUACAGAAAUUCCCGAGGCUCCAUCUGCAUGAGCUGCCGUGGCCAGAGGAGCAUUUCCAGUAACGAGUCUGGUGGCUGUCUGCAACGAGAGAUGGAAAGGCCCUUUGGCUUCAGCUUAUCAAAACGAAGCAGAAGGGGUCAUGUAAAUGUGGUGCAGGAGUCAGAGGAAUCAUAGAAUCGUUAAGGUUGGAAAAGACCACUAAGAUCAUCAAGUCCAACCACCAACCCAUCCGCACCAUGCCCACUCUGCCAAGGGAAGUGGGGCUUUCUUCACCUCUCAGUAACUCAGGGUUGGGGCUGAUGGCCUUUUGGGGGACUCUUUUAUCCAUCACAUGUUCUGGGCUUAUCACAGCCAUAGUUCUGUAGGGGGAACCUGCUGAGAAAAUAUUGUAUUUUCUUUUGGCCUUAAGGUAUCGAAAGGGUUGGAAAGGGCAGGAUACACUGCAUACAUGCCUUGUGUUAGUGAGAGCAUCAGAGGAGGGAGAACAGUGAUUGCUGGCCAGCCUUUGCUGCUGCCUCGCUGCUGGGCUCCCAGCACUGUCAUUUUGGCUGUCUGGUUCUGGGGCGUUGGGAGGGUUAACCAGAGCUUGGUCGGGUGCUUUGGUAGAGAGGGAGGGCACCAUUUGUUACUGCAGAGAUUGGAAACUCCCUGAUGUGAUUAUAACGUGUAGUGAUGGAGGCUAUUUUUAUUGUAUGUUGUGAAUAUUUCCUUGUAUGGCAUCACAAGUAGCUUGCUUGUGACUUGGAGCUCUGUUGAAAGCUCUAGCAACGAAGUUCCCAAUGUCUCUGGCAUUCCCAAGCCAAUGCUGUAAGCGGCAGCGUUAAUUAGCUUUAGGGAGCAAUGCAUAAUAACGAGGAGAUAAUGAGAAAGACCUCCGGCCUCUGCACUUUGCAAGGGGGAGAGAGCAGAGUGUCAGAGCUUGCUCUGCCUCGUAGGACCUCUGCCCAGAGGAGAAAUCCCCACUGAAGUGGGAGGAAACUCUUAUUUCUUGUUAGCAAUCCAGACUGCCGCUCGGCAAAUCCCUUUGCCACUGGAGCUGCAGAUACGUAGCUGUUAACGAGUUGAAAUGGCAUUAAAGAGGAAGUCAACCUUUUGCACAGUUUCCUCUUGGAAAGUGAGUGUUACUUCUAAUUAUAGCGAUUGCAGUUUUUCAGAUGCUCUCCCAGGGACCCGAAUGCUGGGAGUGGGGAGCAGCGGCUGGAAACACAGGCAUGAUUCUGAUUCUGCUCUCCAUUGAUUCACGUUAUUUACCUAAAACAGGUGUGGAGAGAAACUGUUUCCUACGAUACCAGCAUACUUGUUCUCCCUGUGCUGGCCCUGGCAUUGAGCGUGACCAUGUCCCUGGUACACAUCAGUCCAGCUUGCAGAAACUCACCUAAGUUGGGGUUGCUUUUCAGAGAAGCUCCAAUAGUCUGUUUUUCUCAUUUUCCUCCAGCUUUUCCGUGCUCCCACUUUCUUUUGAGGUGAUGGGUUAGAAGUGCCAUACCAGUGCUUUUGUCCCCAGGCCAGACCCUGCUGCAGAAGAGCCGUUGCCCAUGGAUGAGUGGUGCCUGCCACCUUCUGGUCGAUUUUCCAGCACCACCCACAGCUUGGGCGACGGUGCAGGGGCAAAACGCUGGGGGUGCAAUGCCCGGUGUGCCAUGAGCACUGUCCUGCUUACUCCAGGCUGCUGGAAGGAAGGAGAGGUGGCUCCUCCUGAUCCUGGAGAUCAGGGAGGGGGCCAUGAAGGGGGUCUCAGUCCCUCAGUUGGUUCUGUUCCUUAUAGGGUUUCUGCUCUUAGAUGCUUGGUGGUGGAGCAGCUGUCCCACUUCACAGUGGCCUAUUCUCGCUCUGCUCUGAGAUCCUGCUUGUCCCCUUCCCUGACAUCAGGGCUGGAGAUGCUCAGAACUUCACUGUGCUGAGCACUUCAGUUUGUGCUGAGUACUUUAUUGUGCUGAGCACUUCACUGCUCUGAGUGUCCUCAGGGUGGACUGUGGGCCUUAGGUUCCCCCCACUUUACAGAGGGAGGGCUGAAGCUCAGCUCUGUCCCAUCUGAAGUGUGUGAGUUAGAAAUCUCAUGGUUUGGGGACUUGGUUUUCCUGUGUGACCAAGAGAUGGACAUCUCCUGGUGAUGGUCCAGACCAAUAGCUGUGGUCCAGCUCUGAGCCCUGCUCUGCACGUGCCCUGUUUUUGGCCACCAUUAUCCCUUUUGGUGCAGAAGGGCUGGGUUGCUGUUGGAGGCUCAUUUGCUGCAGGAGUUCAGAGCUGUGGCUCUGGGCAAUCUCAAUGCAGCUACACUCAAAUACCAUCUCUAUGGUGAUGACUCAGAGGCAUGCAUCCCUACGCUGGGCUCUCCUCUCCCUGUCCAAAUUCAUAUCUCGGAGGAGCUCUGACAUCUUGUGAAUGUCUCACCACCAGCUCCAGCACAACACAGAAACAGCUUUUAACCUCUCAGUCUCAGCUCAGUGCUGAGCUCAGCAACACCAGGACACUGCUCCUUUGCCAGCAUUUGAGUGUUUUCUUCAUCUCCCGCCUCCUCCUGUGUCUUCAUGUCCUGGCUACCUAACAGCUUGCCUAACCCCACAAAGACACAGCUUUUCCUGAAGCUGGAACUCCCACUUGCUCUUUCAUCACAUCCCCCUCCUCUUGAAGCAAUAUCCUUUUCUUGGCCUCACCAAAUUUGCUGUUGGCCAGCUUGCAUCCGCCCAAAUGCUGCCUGCCUUAGGGACUGCUUUCCCACAUCUACUGCUUCUCCUAUCUGACCCCCUGUAUCCCCCUGCCCACAGCUGCUGCUGCCUCCUGCAUCCCAUGAGUGCCUUUGGUUCUGCAAGGCUACGGCCCUGCUCAGCCCCAGGGCUUUUGUCCUGCCCAAAUGCUUCUUGCUCUUUCUUGCUCAUUUUAUCUCGUAAUUGUACACAUUUGGUAUACUGAUGCACUCAUCAGAGGUGCCUCCAUGCCCAAUCAUUCUGGGAUUCUAGAAUUCUAUGAACAGGCUGCUGACAUGAGAACCAAGGUCCUGGGAACGUGCAUAAAUGGGAAAACAUCUUGCUUGAAAGCAGAGAGGAGGCUAGUGGCUCCAGGCUUGUCCUGGGCUUGGCUUCAAGGCUGCCCAGUGGCACCUGGCACAGGCAGGGGGAUGCAGAGCUGUCAUGGGUCGCUGGCUGCAUCAGCAUCACCUGGGGCAAGUGAGCAAAUGGUUUGGAUUUCAAGUGCAAAUAAGCAGCCCUGGCCCCAAAUGCAGGGAACCCGGCUUUUUCUCACUGUUGUGAAAGAGCAGCUACCCCAGAAGGCUAAAUAGGCUGCAGCAUGGGGGCUGGCAGUGGGAAACUGCUUCUGCAAAGCAAGCAGGGGGUAAAGCUGUGAGCUGAACGAGGCUGGGAAGGAAGCUCCUGCCCUGAGGUCUGUGCUGUCAGCGCGGGAAGGCUUUGCCUUGCUGCACUGCUGGGAACUAAUAAAGAGCUGGAGGGCCAGAGCUGGCUGCAGUCACGGGUUUGGUGCUGAGGAAAGUGUUUGCAGCGGGGUAAUGUGUGCUGUGUGUGCUGCAGGGUGGCUCGGGGCUGAGGCUGCAAAUGAGACAGAACCAGGGCAGAUCUGCUGGGGUGUCCCAGAAAGGUGUUGGCAGAGCCCGGAUCUGCUGUGGUCCUGAUGGCUGAGUGCAUUCAUUUAGGCAACAGCAGACAGCUGUGAUGGGCAUGCUGAGAUCUGCGGGGCCGCUGUUCAAAAGCAGAGGCAGCUCUCUUCCUGUUCUGUUACUGAUGCAAGGCUGUAGCCUCAGCUCUGCUCACACAGAAGGAUGGAAGCUGCUCCUUUUUCUCCCCCAGAAGGAGCGAGGCAGGUGUGUGUCAGCAGCGUUAUGUAGGGAUGUGCAGAGCUUCUUGCCAAAUCAGCUCCUGCUGCUGCCCUGUGCCAGGGCUGCUGGGCAUCCCCAUGUGCCAGUGCUAAGGGAUUUCUCCACAGCUGCUCUGCCUUGAGUGGGUUUCAGCUCUGGCACAGCAAAAGCAGUCCCAUGUGUUUGUCUUUCCUGGGAAUUUGUUGGAUGCAUGUGGUCUGCCCUGGGUUAAAUAUAGCCGCUGGGCCCCGGGCAGCUCACUGUGCCACACAUAGCACUGUGCAGUUGCUGGGAGACACAAAUCAGUGAUGCAAUCCCGAUUUUGGAGAACUAUGGGCCACGUGAUGCCCCUCCAGAUGUCAGUAAAAGAAUUGGAUUGGAAAUCCUCGAAUGGUCCCUUCUGGGCUUGGUGCUGAUGAUGCUCCUGGGGCUGCCCAGGCCUGAGGUGAACACCAGGCACUGCAAUCAAAUCCAGCACAUGGAAUGAUUAUGUCUUGGCACAUUUUUCCUCUUCUCCUCCAAAGAGCCCCCAGCCACCCUUAGGUAAAGCAGAAAUGGGCUAAUGGGCUCUCCUUUCUCUCCCAGUCUGUCAAAGCUCUUCCCUUACCUGUGAAAAUAGCAGGGAAGUUUCUGCUAAUGUCCUCUGACUUCUAAUGCACAAAUUGCUUCAGGAUUUUACUUAGCAUUAGCACCUCAUCCGCUGAUGUGAGCGCUUAGUAGGGAAUAAUCAUCAGUCACAAGAGCGAGUUCUGAUGCUUGGGGCAUUGGAGUGAGUCAAAGAUGACCCAGCUCUUCAAACACAUAGCAAAUUUAAUAUUAAUAAAAAAGCAAAGUUCCUUGUUAAGCAUGACAUUAUCUUCUGGGAAAGGGCACUGCGAUCUGCAGACUGGUGCUGUCUUGUGCUGAAUGCAAAGGCAAAGCAACAGGACGGAUGGGAGCACCUUGCUCCUGCUGGUCCCCUUGCUCUGCCCAUUGUCAGGCAGUGCCCAGAGCCAGGGCUGGAUGUGGAUGUGGAGAGCUUCUCCUUGGCCGUGAUGUUGUUGGGCAAACAAACAGGGAAGAUUUUCCAAAAUCAGGAGCCACACCAGGCAUGGAGGAGGGCUGGGAUGCAGCUUGGUUGUUGGGAAGGAUGGGAGAUGCUGCCCAGCAAUGGGGGGUUGAGCAGAAUCCAUCCAUCCCCUCUGUGCAGCGCUGGGGAUGGUGCAGGCUCAUGCUGCAUGGGGGAGAUCGCAGACCUGAGGGAGGCUCACAGUGGUCAGAAGGUGCCUGUGGGGAGGCCGGGCCUGUGGAUGCAAGGCAUGGGGACCACAGCUCUGCUGUGCCAGGGGUCCGAGGCUCAGCCCUUCUGAGCUCACCCUGCUGAAAAACGAAGGUUUUGCUGUUUUCACUGAAAUUAAUCCUUAUGGGAAUCUGCUUUCUGAUGCAAUGCUCUGCAAGAGAUUUCUUGUUUUUUUUUUUUUUCCUCAUCCCUCUGCUUAUUUAGACUCGGAAAAUAAACAGGAGCGAAAAAGCAAGAGGUGGUAAAAAUCCCGAGGAGCUGCAGGAAGAGCAAAGAGCUCCUAUCUGCCUGCAGGGACCGCAGCACGGCGGGUGUGCGGUGUGCUGACUCAGCUGCUGUGCCUCUGCGGUGAGAGCGCAGGGCAAGGCUGAGCAGGGCUGCUCGUAGCUUGGCUUGGAAUGACACUCACAAUAACAAACAUCUGAGCUUGAAUUCUCAGCUGACGAUAUUUCUAAAUGGAAGGGAAUGCAUGGGAUGGGAAAUGAUGGUGAAUGGCCAAAAGGAGUGAGGAUUUACUGCUGCUCUGCUGGGGCUGUCAGGCAGGAGAGGACCACGACAGGACCAGGAUUGUGCUGAGGUGAUAGCAUUGGUGCCUCAGCAGUGCCAGUGGGCAUUGCAGGGUGAUGCUGGACCCUGCUUUGCUCUCCAGCCUCUUAUGCUGGAAGACAUGGCAACAAGAGAGGGCCAGCGCCCUGGAGACUUGGGAUGGGCUUUGUGAAGCUGUGACAGCCAUUAUGCUCCAGGGCUGGCCUUGGGCUGCUUUGCUUUGCUGCUGCUUUUCUUGUUGCUGUACCAUUGGCAUUGGGUCCAUCUCUCCCCAGUGCAGCAUCAGCCCUUCGUGGUGAAGUUGGUGUUUGAGAGAGGGUUUUUGUGCUCAUCAUCUUGGGAAUAGCAGGGCAGAGUUGAGCAGAGAGCAGGUUUCCUCGUUCAGAGGCUGGGCUAAAAAUAUUCAGGGAAAAAAAUCAUUUGGGACUGAGCUGAGAUCUGAAAUAUUUGCUGUGUUCUGAGCUUUUCAGACCACUGCAUGGAGGAGAAAUGUUCUUAAUUCAUGGCAGUUCCCAGCUCUCCUAAGGACGUGGCUUGUUGCACUGAAAGGGUGACAGUAGCUCUUUUUUCUCUCUGUUUCUGUUAAAUAGAUAUAUGCAUAUAUAUAUAUUUAAUGAGAAGGAACACUUCAGAACAAAUGUGCUUCAAUGCCAUGUUUGGCUGUGUUCACACAGGAGGUUAAAUUUAGCAUUCUGGGGGCCAAAUUGUGCUGGCUGGCGCAGGGUCACCUCUGGACGGUGCAAGACACAGGGGUUCCCUCAUCCCCACCCAGUGCAAAGGAAGAGGUGCUGACAACAUCACCUUUAUUGUCACUGUUGCUUCAGCAGCCCGUCGUGUGCUUGUUGGGAUGCUGGGCUGGGUGAUGCUGAGAUGGCUGUGCCAAGCCAGUGCCUCAGUGCCUCCUUGGCUGGUGUGCAGCCUCUGGGGUGACGAGUGGGUUUUACCAUUUCUGAAGGGGAACUGGGAGCACUGGGACCAUCUGUGCUGUCUGGGGACAUCAGCUCAGCUCCUCUGCAGUGCUGCUGGGAAUUCACAGGAGGCACCGUGCUCCCAUUGCAGAAACCUGCAGCCAACUGCAGGGCUUUGUCUCUUUGGAAAGAUGGAGAUGUGCUGAGCACGGCAUGGGAAAAGGAGCUGGUGGCUGCAGGGCAGGGGAACCCCAUCCCCAUCACCAAUGCCACGGAUUCCUGCUUUCUCCAGGCUCUUCAUCCUCUGCAGAGCUCCCUUGAUCCAGAUCAGAGGCACCACGGGGAAGCAUCAAAGGCGAUCUCCACAUGAGCACUGGGGAGCAAGGAAUAAUGCAGGGUGGGUGCAUGCCCUCAGGUUGGGUACCUGCAGCCCCCAGAGCUGUAAGUGCAAUGACAGGGAAGGCCCACCUCCAUCUCCCUGCUCCACUCUGUAAUUUCCUGCAGCAAAGCAAACCGUGGCUUCAAUGGAAAUACAUGCACAGCAGGCAUGCCUCUCAUUGAAACCCAGUUUGUCCUGGGAAGCACUGCAAGUGUGUCCUUGGGAUGUCAACCUUGGCGUGAGGUGCAUGAAUAGACCCAUUCAGACACAAACACAGACCUCCUGAAUACAGCUCCAUCCACCAAGAGACGGAUUCCUGAUGAAAUGAGCUCAACAAAGCAGCAGAGCACACAGGAGAUAAUGGAAUGACUGCAAAAAGCUGGCAGUGUAUAGGAAUUUUAAUUCAACUUGACAAAGCCAAGAGGCUUUGUCAACUGGGACAAGGAGGUGUCAAGGAGGAAAAGGGGAGAGGCUGAGGCUCUUGCAUGUCUCUACAUUGAAUGUAGAGAAGGCUCUACAUUCAGCCUUCCAACCCCAAAAGCUGGCUGCCAUCUCCACACCAGAGCUCCCAAUGCAUGCUAACCCGGUGAGCUGGGAUGGGGCUCCCAGCACUAACUCCCCGUAGAGCUGUCAUUACAAACCAAUGAGGUAUCCGUGUUAUGUUUUUGUUCAGCUAAAAAAGCCUUCAGAGAGAUGCUGAAUAAGUAUUAAAAGGCCUUUCUUUUUUUCUUUUCCUUUUUUUUCUUUUCCUUUUACUAACACAGAGAAAAUUGAAACCAGCUGGCAGGGCUGGUCGUUCCAGCCAACUGCAGCAGCCCUGGGGAUUCCCCUCAUGUGCUGGUGCUGCAGGGAGGGGAAACUGGGGUAAGCCAGGUGACUGGGGCUGCGUCCUGCCUGCUGGGAGAAGGAGGUUUUGCUUCCUCCUGCCCUGCCUUGAAGCCAUCGGUCACCUACAGCAAGCAGCAUGUAAGGGGAUUUGCCUGCCUGGGGAUGAGUCCCUGCCCAAAUGGGAGAGCUGGAGGAACAGGACCAAAGGAAGCAGGAGAGAUGACGGAAAGAUGCAUUUUGCUGUGUGGAGACUGCUUGCCUUACACUGACACUGUGAGUUGUGCUGAAAUAUGUUUGUUUCCUAAGCACAAGUUCCAUCCGGAGUGAUUGCUUCUUGGCUGUAGCUAUUGUGUUGCAGAAAAUAAUAAAUCUCCAUUAAUUAGGCACAAAAGGAGAGCAGCAGAGGCAAUACCUCGGGUAAGAAGCCAGGUUUCACUGCUGCUAGCGCUGCCCAUGUGCAGGUUGAGCGUUCUGCAUGCAAAUCCUGGGCUUUUCCUGCCACCCUGCAGCCCUGCCUCAGAGCAUUGGAAACAAUUGCACCAAAACUUUUGGAGCAAGCCUUUUGCUCUCUCCUUGCAGCCAGCAUCUCAGCCCAUAGUGGCCUUGGCUGUCACCGCAGCACUCCUGCCUGCUCCAUUCGCUUGGUUCGAAUUAACUCUGCCAGCAGUGCUCUGCCCUGUUUUCUUCUGGCUCCAGCAACCUCAGGGCUGCUCAGUGCUUGUGUGGCCAUUCUCCCUUUGCGCCUCUGGGACAGAUGGAAUGAAGAUUGGUCUUGGGCAAAGCUGGCAGCCUGAGAGAUCGGUUUUGGAGCCGAGAGGGAUGGGCAUCCCUUGUGAAGCUCUGCAAGGCCUCAGCUUCUCACUGCUGGAAACCGUGAGUGUGGGCUGGAAGAUGUGCCAGGGAGCCCCGGGCACACGUGGGGACCAGAGCAGGCUGCAAGCAGCUUCAGCAAUUAUCUAGCAAAUUCUGCCAGGACAUAGGGAAUGGGGUGGGGAUGGGGUCCCUGAGGUGCCUCGAUGAGUGAAUGCCACGCUGGCUGCUUGCUGGUCCUGCAAGGCACUGUGCCUAGUGCCCAUCCCUGCAUCCACACAGCUCCGAUGAGAGCAGGCCCAGAAGAUGUGUUGGAGUCCUUUGUCUAGAGAACCAGCAGCAGUCCUUCAUGUGAGGCUGCCAGGCCUCUGAAGAAGCCACAUCAGGAGCAUCCCUGCCUUUGUGGUGCUGUGGAUGCAAGUGGGUUGGGAAUACCUUUCAGAUCACUUUGUUCACAGUGUGAAAUCAAUGCUUCUGAAAACGAAGGCUAGAGGAGAGCUGGGUCUCUGCCUGGGCUUGGGAGAAUUUCCUUCCAAGAUGCUGUCACAGGUUGCAGGGGAAAGCACUCCAGGCUGAGGCUCUGGCGUAUUUCUAGAUUUCUCCUGGGUUUAGGUGGCUCAUGGAUAUUGGCUGUCAUGCAACACAGUGGGUGCAUCAUAGCUCUGCUCUGCAGGGAGCAGAGCAUAGAGAUCCGUGGUGGGGAUUAACGGUGUCUGCUCUCUGGGGUGGCUCCAGAGGCUGAGAAAUGCAUGACCAGGCACAGCACAAAGCCCAGAGGAGCAGAGUGAUCUCAUGCAUUUCCACCUUCUUUUCAUCAGCAAUCAGUGCUGGGAGCACCGUGAUGAACUUUCUGGUGUCAACCUGACACGCUUCAGGAGCAAUGAUUUCAGGAUGACUUUCUCCCCAAUCCCCCCCCCCAAAAAACAACAACAACAACAAAACAACCCAAAAGCAUUGCUUUGAAUGUGCUGGCUCAGCACUUCGGCUGCUGCUGGUUUUUUUCACUCUGUGCUUUUCCCCUCAUUAAAUCCUGCCCUCUGCGGCAGUGCGUGAGCUCAGGCACUUUGACACACUCAGUCCCUGCCAGCUCCUGCCACCGAGCCCUGUUAUGAUUGAUUGCUGUGUGAAAGGGGCUACAGAUGCUGUGGUUAUGCAGAACAACAGGGGGCUGCUUGCUGUGGCCCAGGAAGAUGUUAUCUGCCUGGGAUUCGCCUUGGAUAAAGCCCCAGAAGGCCUCUUCAAGUUGCACAACCAGUUGAGGCCACCCUGGAUUUGGCCAUUUCUUGGCAGAAGCACUACAUGGAAGCAAACAUUUUAGCAAGCCCCUUCUGAAGGGCAGUUUGGUGAGAAUAUGGGCAGGAAAGUCCCGGGGCUGCAGAACGCGUGAGGGCUGCCCUAAUGCAGGGAGGGGGACUUGGGUUAGGGUUGGGGUGUGGGUCUGGAGGGGCCAGGCUUCUCCUGGCCAAAUUGAUGGAACCAUAGAAAAACCUGAGAUGCAGAGAUGCUCUGUGAGGCUGCGUCUGUCGUUAUUCACCUCCUCUGUUUUCAGCUUCUGUUUUUUUUCCUCUUUGUGGGAAGCGACCGAGGUACGGAUCUCCAGUCUGGAACCUCUUAUCUGCAUGCAGAUGGUUUGGGUAAGGAACUCCCCAGAAGGAUGGGAGCCCAUUUGCCCCCUCCUAAACACACAAAUACGUGAACAAAGCCAUUGCAAAGCAGCCCUGCCCACACGUGCAGAGACAACACCUCCAUUGGGCCGCCCCUGCUGCAUGCAGCCCCUCUGUUUCUCUUUCAGUCUGCAGUACAUGGAAGGAACCCGGUGCUGGCAUUUGGUGAGAUGGUGCCCAUCCAUCAGCUGCUGCUGCCCUGCAUGGAGCUGUGUCUCAGCCCAGGGAAUCAAUCCUGCCUAAUGUAUAAAUAUUAGAUCUGGAGUCUCAGCUGCAGAGGAGAAAGCGGAGCUGUCAGAUAAGCUGCAAUUAGUGCAUUUAUCUACUUUAUUUUCCUGUCGUUUCCCCAAACUCCUUUUGCCUGUCUGCUCCUAAUACAUUAUUAAAUCUGCUCUAAGUGUUGAUUAAAGAAGCUGAAAUCCCAGGUGUUUGUUACCCAACACUGCUGAGAUGCACUCUCAGACUACCUCAUGCAAAUUGUACUUUUUGGUCUAUGUGGGGUUUUUUUUUUUUGCACGUAUUUUCCACUCUUUCUACGUACCUUCAAGCCAAAGAAAUGUGUUUUCAGCAGAGGUUCUGUGCUGUGCUUUGCUUAGCGACGUGCCUGGCUUUGAGGUGGCACCAGGUCCCUGUGCAGGGAGCACACAGCUCUGCCAGCUCAGCCUCCUGUUGUGGAGAUGCACUCACCGACGGCUCCAGCAUCUCUUUAAGCAAAAAGCUGCAAAAAGAGGUAGAUCUAUUACCAUUGCUCAUGCAAGAGUAAACACGGCAAUCAAUCGCAGCUCCAGACUAACUCCUUUCCUUUGCAGUUUGGGUGUUUAGAAGUAAUUUUGGGAGUAAUCACUGCAAAUGGAAGCAUGGAAGUAAAUGCCUGCAAUAAAACAUUGCGGGGGUGACUGUUAUCCUAAUGAUAUUUCCAACAAACACUGCUGAACUAUGUUUUCUUCUCUAAAAUUUGCAACAGAGCUUUAACGUUCUGAGUGCUAAAUGGGGUAAAUAGCAGCCAGGAUGGUUCUGAGAUGAUUUUUCUUUGCCAUGGCAAAGAUGAGGCAUGUUCUAUCCUUCCUCCUGUCCAGGAGCACUGCGUUAUUCUCUGCUUCCCAAUUUGCUCACGCUUUGUGUCAUGCUACAGAUCCCCUUUCCAUUCACCCAGUAUAAAUAAUUGCUAUCUUCUUUCACAGAGCAAACACAAACUUUGCAAACUGGCAACAGCCUUACAGCAGAAAGCUGCUGGCCAGAUUCCAGUGGCCUUUUCUAGUUGGUUUUUUAUUUAUUUUUUUUAUUCCUUUCCAGAUGGGUUCAUCUCUUAUUCCUUGUGAAUAAUUUAUCCGGGCACGCCUGGAAAUGUUCUCUCAAGAAAUUAUGGCUGCCUUCAAAUCCCUGUGGCAGUGCUGCCUGGGGGUGGCAGGGAGCGAUCCCUUCUGCCCCCACUGAGCUUCUCUGGGGGGUGGGUGGGUUGGGAGGAGGUGGGCAUGGAAGGGAGGUUCAUGAUUAACUUCAGCCUCUGCAUUUCUGGAGCUGCACUCAGUGCAGUGUAGGGAGCCAAGCGGAUGGGCUGCCCCUGCUUUGCUUUGAUGGAUGGUUGCACUUUAGGUGCUGCUGUUUGCAAAUGGAGCCCGCGGUGGCGAGGUCUUGCCAGCCAAGUGCUUCUCGUUAUUCAGCAUUUGCAAACCAAAGUGGGAUGGAUGGAGGAGUAGUGCCAAUCGUUGCUCCCGGCAUCGUGUCUCUCCAUCUGACAAAACCUGUCAGAAGGGAGUGGAGGCCAGAAGGAAGAACUCGCCUCACUUGCAAUCAAAGCACCUGAAAUGCCAAGGCCCUUCAAGCUACGGGGGGGGGAAAAUUUGGGGGAGGCCUCAGCUGUGUGCUCGCUGCUCCUGCUGGGAAUGCAGCCAGGCUCUGUGCUCUAUCAGAGCCAUGCAGUGAGCACCUGGCAGGGAACGGUGGCAGCAAAUGGAGCCACAGCACUGUCAGCCCUUGUCAGUCAAUGUCAAGCAGUGGGCAGCCAUCCUUAGUGCAGUACAGGGAUGUGCUGCUCUGCAGGAGGUGGGUGGCUCAGGGCUGCUCUUUUUGUUGCAUGCCUCUGUCAGGUGUAGAGCUAUUAAGGCAGGUGGUUAAACACAUGCUUCUCUAUUGAUCCUCCUCUUCUUCCCAGAGCUAGAGUAGCGGGCAUUGUGGGAUGGGCUGAUGGUUGAUGGGCUGAUGGUUGAUGGGCUGAUGGUUGGGCUUGAUGAGCUUAGUGGUCUUUUCGAACCUUAAUGAUUCUACAGUUCUCUGAUGUUCUCUCGUUUCACAGCCUGUGCAGUGCUUUUCCCCCUGUUUGGCAUUGGGUAGCCAAGGACAGAAGUCUAAAAGCAGGCAGGUUAUUCUCCAAAUGCACCACAAAACAAGAGCAACAACAACGAGGGCUUGUAGUUAUGCCUCGUAAAUAACUCCUCAUGGAAUUGUGCGAUUUUCUAUUCCUUUGGCUGGAUGAUGGGGGUCAAGGAUGCUGAAAUGAAAGGAGGCCUCAUACAGGGAUGGGAGCAGAGGGAUUUGAUUGCACGCAAGCCCUGCAACAGUGAAGAGCAUUGUUCUUAGGAGCACCGCUGCCCAAAACAGCACUGCAAGCACAGAUCCCUGAGGUGUGAGGCUGGGAACUUCAACAGCAGCAAAUUGCAGAGUCCAGGAGCUCCCCUGAAAGGGCUAUCGUUAACAGCGGGUUUAAAAGCAAAUCUAAUGGAUGUUGGAGAAAUAAACCACCUUUAUCCUGGGCAUUUGCUGCUCAGUCCCAGUGCUCCUGCAGAGCUCGGGCUGUGGAGGCACAGCACCACUCAGCUCUUGGCUCCCAUUCAGAUCUCAAGACGUCUUCAGCGAUAAGGAGCGCUGUGGCUUCCAAUGAGACCGAUGGGCUCUUGCACAGGAGGCACGACGUCUUCUGUUGUGUUGGCUGGAAGUAAAGCCGCGAGGCACAGCCAAAAACCCAGCUUUCUGACUGCGAUAAGGUGCCAAAAUGUCACUCCUCCUUCUGUGCUUCUUGCUUGAGCACUCCUUCCCCUUCUGUGCGUAUCGCUCGCUUUGUGGUUCGUCAGCUCCGGGUGGGCUGCGCUGCCCACACUGCCUGAUGGAGCCCAAAUGGAUCUGCUUUGAGGACGUGCUUCAAUCUCACCUAUAUCUUAUUCCUGGAUAUAGAUUGGCUUCAGUGCAUUUCAAGUCCUUUGUUGAGCCAAGGCCCGUGCCAACACAUCCAUUCCAUUACGCUGAGAGCAGCAUCAAGGAUUUGGGUUCCUUUACGCUACUCACUGUCCAUCAGAACUAAGCAGUGCCUUUUCCCAUGUAUUUGGAAGGAAAAAAGAACCAAUUCUGUAGCACAGUGAAGAAGCUGGGUGAAUGCUUAGGGUGGGCAAAGCCCAAGGCAGUCUGUAUUUACAUUCUGCUAACUCCAUCAGGCACAGGUCUUGCUGGAGGUGAGUGUACAACAGGGCUGUCUUCAAUAAGAGGCUGAGGAUAUCUAGGGAGCUUUAACUGUGAAGGCUCCUGUAAGGUUUUCAUAACUCCUGCCAAAGGAGAAAGACUUAAAAACCUUCCUUUGCCUUGCUCUCUUUCUGUCUAUUGUAUUAUUUAAUCUCACCUUCGCUCAGCAGAGUUCUUAUGUGCUGAAAGGAAAUGAAAUCUCUGCUGUGUUAUUAUUGCUCUCUGCUUAGAUAAAUAGCAUUGUGCUGAAUUCAGGGCACGGCUCGCCAGCUUUUACCUUCUAAAUAUGCUGCUCUGGGGCAGCACAGCUCUGAGAGUGAGGAGUGCUCCGAGGUGUUGCUGAGAGAUCUUCCCAUCUCCGCCACUGAAACUGAAUCCUUUAACAAGAAAACAAAGCUGUGGGACAUUCAGGGUGAGAAAGACACUGGGAUUUGUCACCUACCCACAAUACCACAGCAGAAGCUGGAUUUGGGUUCAGUGAGACCGUCGUAGGGAUGCUUUGUCCUGCUUUUUGCUUGCAGGGCUGAGAAAGCCUUUUUUCCCAAGGUUUUAAUCUCCAACUUGCUGACAGUGUAAUGCAAGGACGUGCACAGACCCUGGGCUUCGCACAGCCUUAGGAGUGGUUCUGCUGCUCUGACAGCAGGUGUCCCAGCAGCUGCAGUGUGAAAUGCUCCUGUAGGACAGUGCCCCUUCUCCUCACAAAUGAGGACAGCAGAGGAAAUUAAGCAUGACGGUUCUUCCCAAUGCACUGCUCACCUGGGGUUCACAGAGUCACUAAUGUUGGCAAAGCACUCUAAGGUCAUCAAGUCAAACCAUGGAUGCUCGUGGGCCAGCAGCUCUGGGGCACCUUCGAGACGUGGGAGGAGGGACAAAAGGUCUGGAUGAGCUGCGGGUUAGGAGAGAGCAGGAUGGUUCUCCUGAAGCUGAGCAUCGGAGGAACUGGAGAAUGGAGGGUCUUAUUUGGUGCCUGGUUCUCAUGGGGGGCUGUGUGUUCCAGCACUGGGAUCUCACAGGGGUCACAGAAGAGACUUGAUGUGAUGACCAUCAGCUGCCGUUUCCAAUUGACCAGUGUGAUCAUUCCUAUUUCAACCCACCAUUCUCAGGCCCUGCUGUGGACCUAAGAACAGCUUCAGUGACAAACUCUCCCCGUGUCCUCUAUUUCAGCCCUCCUGGUGAUUGGCUGCUGACUCUCUGAUCCUAUUCUGGUCCUUUGGAACACUCUGAGGUUGCAUUCAUGGACUCUCAUCUCUUGCUGCAGUGCACUGCUUCAUGCUCUUGUGAUACUUUGCUGCUUUUAUGUGCUAAAGCGGAGAAUUAUAAGAGAGAUUAUAAGUGAGAUUUCCAACGUUGUGCUGGCAGAGCAAAGAAUGAGUGUGGAGCUGUGCUUACCUAAUGAACCCCCAUGUGGCAGGAGGAGGUCCUGUGGCCCACAGCUGCCUGGUGAUGUGCAAAAAGCAAAUUGCUGUCACUGCAGAGGUGCUGAGAGUGACUUCUGGAAGCCCUAUGCGUCUGGUAACUAAAACGCCAUAAGGAUUUCUCAUAAUGAUAGCUAACAGUUUUCUAGCCAAAAGGCAUUUUGGCCAAAACAAACCCCAAGUCUAUUCCAGACCUUGCUGGGCAGGAAUUUUGUGGUUGCCUAGGAACCGCUGAUCACAGCCUGAUUGCAUCCAAUAGGGGCUGUCAAAGGGCAGCUUCUUCUGCGUUUCCAUCAGUAUCAUCACUGUCACAGCCAUGCAGUCCUAUGGCAGCUUCUAAGGGGCCAAAGCAGCAUUGGGGGAGCUGCACUUGGAAGUGGAUGGGAGAUAAGGGCAGAAAACGGGAGUGCAUGUAGGGGAUUUUGAAGCGGAGUUCAUCAUGGAUGAUGGACAAGCCCUUGGAAUUCAUCAUAAGGAGCCUAGCCAUGGUAGGUAUUAAUGAUAGGAAAAAAGCAGUAGUUUGCAAAAGGAGCUUGAUACCACAUGACGUGUAUCAGGAAUUACAAAGCUCAGCCAGCUGAUGAAAGACAAGUUUUAAAAGAGCGUUGGAAGCUGUGGCUGUCAAGAGGAGGCACAAAAAAACUGAAUAUCUUUAACAGAGGGAAAAAAAUGGUUCCAGCUGGAGGGUUCGUCAGUGCGUGGAGUGGUUCAAUCCAUGCAGUCAUCUUCGGUCAGUGUUUCUUUGUGGCAUUUGGAAAGACAGAACGAUGUGCUUUGUAUCUCUAAUGGGCAGUACAAUCUUUCCCAACCCGUCUUUAAUCAGCAGAGUAGUAAAUUAUGUCUGUGUUGUCAGGGGGUACACUUAGAAAUCAGUGUCUAUGUAAUGCGUGUUGGAGAGUCUCAGAAGAGCUGGCAUAGAAGGCUGAGGUCUGCAGAUGUUCAUUUUUAAUCAGCACCAGAAAAGCUGGGAAAAGGCUAGUUUGUAUUUUAAAAAGGCUGUUAUUAUAUCUGGGAUAAAUGCAAGCUAGUAAUUGUGGACAGAGCAAUAUAACAGGUGAAAGAGAAUUCAAUCAAUGAGGAAUUCAGCGCUAGGAAUAAAACGAAUGGGUUUAUGAAACAUAGGUCUUUAGGAGCUUGGAUUCAUCAGCUUAGUCAUGGUUAUUAGGCAGGUCGAGGACAACCCGUGUUUUGCAAAGUGCUUGACACAGUUUUACAUGGCAGAGGGGGGAGCAUUGCCCCAUGGUGGGAGCUCUGCUGGGGUUGGCUGUGGCUGCACCAUCCUUUCCAGAUGCGGAGCGAGGUAAGGCCUCUUGCUGGGCUGUCUGUUAUAAAAUUGAGCUUUGUUGCUUGUUUGUUUGUUUGUUUUCCCCACAGUGUUGCUGUAGGAAUUAUGGGUGAGGGCGGGAGCCAACUGCAAGGAACGUUUUGAGAAGGAAAAUUAAAAGAUAAAUGGUUCCAAAAAGGGCGGCGUAGUCUAUUUAUGUGGCUGUGUUCCAUCCAAGAAGGCAUUCGGAUAUGUCCUCGGCACAGCUGACUCAACCCAGCUACCAAAACAUGGACAGCACAGGGUCUGUGCCUGUCUGCAUAGAGCAGUGUUGCUGAGUGCCUUCCACACCCAAGGGGCAGCAUCUUCACCUUUCUGCCUUCCCAAGGAUGCUGAGGGUGUCAGAGGGCCAGUUGGAGCCAUUCCUCCCUUUCCAGUUCUGCCUUCUCCAAGGGAUCGUCCCAGCCAUGGGAUGUAGGAUGAGGGAGAGAUGCUGCCAGAGCCUCACUCUGCCCUCCACCAUCACGUUGGCUAUUAGCAAGAGCUCAGGAGGAAUCCAUGAAGCCUGAGGAGCAGUGCAAGUUCACCCUGUGAGAAGACUCAACCUGUCCAUUCCUCUCAUGUUUCUUCUUGGUUUCUAACAGUGACUUGAAAGGAUACGGUGCUGCUGUCAAAGAUGUGUCAGGAGCACGGCAGAGCCUCUCAGAGUUGCUAGGUGACUGCUGCCCUCAGGGCACAAAUCCCAAUCCCGCCUGCUCCUGGGAUGAGUAAUGCAUCUCGUUGGCAUCUGUUGGGCAAAAGCACUGCCGCUUGGGGCUUGCAGCUUGAGUCACUGCUGGUUGAGCAGCAGGUUCCGGGGGUGGCCGGGGGAUGCUCCUUACACUCCGAGGUGCUCAGCCCCAAAGCAAAUCUCUGCCUUAUGGAUGGGGUUGGAGCAACCCGGUCACCUGGCUCGUGCUGGAGAGAUGCUCCUCUCACCUGAGCACUGUGACUGCAAGAAGGUGUGCUUGUUGGCCAGCACUCUUCAAUUGGCAAUCAAAGACCUCAGGGUAGAGGAGCGUUCCACAUCCUGAUGAUGAAAAUAGGAAAAGCAAGACAUGGGGAGAUGGAGAGUCUGACCCAUUCCAGGUGGAGUCAGGACUUGAUGCAGGCACUGACCCCUCAGUGUCUCAUCACAUUUCUCUGGGCUUCCAAGGUUUUCAGUUAAUUUCUCAAGUUAAAUAUAGUUAUGGCAUAACUUCAAAAAUGUUUUUUUGGUUGGUCUGCCUUCUAGUUUCACAUGGUUUCAGGUUAAAUGCUGUUCUGGCUGUGUCCCAGUGAAGGACUGAAUUGAUGCACAAGUUUUUUAAGGUCAGUUCUCCCCACCUGACAAACAGGAGGUAUUUUAGUCCAUGGUAGCCAGUGAUUUUGAUGCCUGAGUGCUCUCUGUUAAGAACAUAUUACAAAGAAAUGGGAAACUUAUUUCAGUGACAUUCGCUGGCCAAGCAGAAGAAAUGAUAAACUGCGAUGUUUUCAGGCUGUUCACCUUUGUUUGAAGGGUGAAGUGGUGCUUGAAGGCAUGGCAGCGGGAUGCAGCCCCCAGCGCUUGUUGCACUGUGGCAGUGACCAGAAGGCCACACAGAGACCGCCCGUGGAAGAUGCUGCACAAACACAAACUGAAGAGCAGGACAUGCCUGAAGGAGUGCCGUUAGAGCAGAAGGACUGAGACAGUGUGAGGAAUCAAUGGCAAAAUAGGUCCCGUUAAUUUCAGCAGUGGCAUUGGGCUUGCUCAUGUAGCUACUGCAGAGGGGCUGACUCGAUGAUCCCUAGAGGACCCUCCCAACCCCUGCAGUUUUAUGAUAUCCAGUUGGGUUCAGGAUGCUUUUAUGGAAAAUAUGCAUUUUGUGUGUAUGAAGAGGAGAAGCAAAGGUUUCCCCACCUGGGCUUUGGUGUUGGAAAAAGCUGGAAGCACAGCGCGGAGCAGAUCAUGGGCAGCAAAGUGAGGGCUGUGCUGUAGCAUGGCAUGGGUGGGGAGACUUCAGGAAGCCCUGGGUGAGCUGCUGUUGAGAUCUGCACAGGGGGCAGAGACUCACAUAGCUAACGAGCUCCAGGGCAGCUCAUCUGCCUUAGAUUGCAGGCUUUUCUCCAAGCAGGGAUGGUAAAUUGCAAGCGAAAAUAAUUUCUGUCAAGGAUCUAAUGAUGCUUGAAGUUCCUGCAACCUUUCAGAUAAACAGGGUGGAACAGCGCAGUGAAUUUUGUAAGAAAUCUCUAAAAAUGUGCAGUGAACAUAAUGGAGCAAAAUUGAUCUGUUGUUUUCUCUUUCAGGAAGCAAAUAUUGCAUGAGGAGGAAAAGAGAAUAUGGGCCAGAAAAUACAGCUGUACUCUCAGAAUGCGUUGGUCACAGGGACAGCAGCUGUCCCCAAACUUAAUAUUUUUCAUUAAAAAGAAAAUUAAGAUCAGGAAUUUCUCCAGGGCUUUAAAAACAUGCUCUGUCAGAGAGUUCUAGAAUUGUUAAUGUUGGAAAAGACCACAGAGAUCAUUUAGUUCAACCACCAACCCACCACGUGGCUGGGGGUGAAGUAGAGGUCCUUGGUGCGCCUGUGGUGGAGGCCCAGCAGUGGCAAAAGGGAUGGCUGAGGAUGAAAAAGAUCCUUGUAUCAUUUUGAGGUGGGAUAUUAGGAACAAUUUAUCUUCCAAAAUAGCAGUGAUGCGGGGGGCACAGCUGCCCAGGGGGGUGGUGGGGUCACCAUCCCUGGAGGCGUUCUGGAACGUGGAGAUGUGACACGGAGGGAUGUGGUCAGUGGGCACGGUGGGGUGGGCUGAGGUUGGACUUGGGGACCUCAGAGGUCUUUUCCAGCCUUAAUGACUGUAUGAUUCUAUAGUGAUUCUGUAACAGACCUCUGGCAGACCCACGCGGAGGGAGCACCCUUCUGCACAAAGCAGAGGAUGGGCUGCAGACAAGCUGGGAACAGGUGGAUGAGUGCAGGCUAACUCGGAGAAGGAGCUGGCAGGCACUGCUGUGCGUGUUUAUCGCAGAGCUAGCAGGGCUCAUUUUGAUAGCAGCACGUGUCUGCUGCCAGCUCCUGCAGCUGCCAUAGGUGGUUUCAACACUCCCAAAUCUGCCUCUGGCUGUAUGGGGACAUGGAUGUGCUGCGGCUGCCCCAUCCUCCAGGGCUCUCCUCCAGCCUCGGAAAGCUCCAUGAGCCCACUGCAGCUCCGCUCCUCUCGUUAGGUUUGGCUGCAUCUCAUCGUUAACGAGCAAAAAGCCCAACAGCCCCCCAGCCAACUAGGGAAUGAUUUCUCAGCGCUCUCCUUGAGGGCAGCAGCUGCAUCUGGUAUUUCUUAGAAUGAAAGCAAAUAUUUUUCUUUCUGUCUAUCUUUCUUUCUUCCUUCCUUCCUUUUUUCCUAGAACUUAAUUUUCAAUAAAGCCCUCUGCUUGCCAGAGGUGACAUAUUCUGCAGCUGAGACACCCGACGGCACCUCAGGACAUUGCAGACGACUUCAGAUGUUUCUGUUCCACAUUUAUUCUGUUAGCUUUCCAUCACGGUCACCGUGCCUCUAACCUGGGGUUUUGGCUCUUAUGACUCGGAGCUCGGAGAGUGAGUGGCAUCACAUCUUUCCAGGAAAAUGCUGUGUAAGUUUGACUUGAAGUAUGUGGAAGUUUGGCUGGAAUUCAUCAAGGACUGACCUAGAGAUGAAAAGGGGGUGUGAAAGUUCUCGUUGAGUUUGUGAACUUCCUUUGUUCUCUUUGGAUCCUCGUGAUUUAUGUGUUUUUGCAGAAUUCAGUGCACUCCAACUGAGCUAAAAUCUCAGGAGAAGAAAAAUAAGAGGAACUCAAAUCUAUACCAAAUAUAUUCAUCAAGCAAAACCAUUAAGCCCGGUACAUUUCAACGCUGGAACUAAAGGCAUCCUACCAGAUUUUACUGUUAGUUUUAUGUGGAAGGCACUUGGGUACAGUGAUGGACUUCCUUAAAAGAGAAUGGAUGGGAUUUGGGCAGGCAAAGCCGUGGGGGAUGCAAGGAGAAAAAUGUCUCCUGUGCAAAUCCAGCACGAGUAGAGAAAAACUUGUGUAAUGCUUGCAUGCUUGUCCAUGUGCACACUCUUUGCACGCUUGGACUGGUGCAUUGCACCCCCAGUUCCCAACUGAUAAGCAAUGGGGCAAAUACGAUGUACAGAAGUUGGGGUGCUGGGGGGCUGUUUUCUGGUGCCCGUUUCCAGGCUCUCUUGAACAUUUGGUCUUGCUUUUGGAUGGUCCUAUGUGGAGGCAGAGGUUGGACUCGAUGAGCCUUAUGGUUCUGUUCCAACAUGGGGUAUUCUGUGACUCUGUGAUGUGGGUCUCGGUCCUGGUACUGGAUGGGACAGGACUGAAGGUCCCUUGAUGCACCAAAGAUUAUUUUUUCCCCUUCUGCUGCUGAAGUUUGGCAAUACUUGCAAAUGUCACCGCCUGUCAGACAGAGCUUUUGCAUUUCCCAUCCCCUGGAGUGGAGGCUGCCUAUCAAGUGUCUCUUCCCCACACUUUAAUGUUUCUGGUAAAUGUACUGAUUUGAUUUUUUGAUUUUGUCUGAGCAAAAUAAGCGCGUGUCACACGCCUGAGCUGACAGCCGAGGGAAAAACCGAGGCGCGGCCAAGGGGAUGGAAUGAGUUAUCCCUCCUGGUGCUACACAGGCAGGCCAAUGUGAGGCAAGAGCCAUUUAGUCCACGUGUUUGCACUGUGCCCCCGCAGAGGUGUGGAGCUGGGAAUGGGCGACGGAGCUUUUGUGUCUCGCAGUGGAUGCUGGCAAUAACAGGAGCUUCUGUUGAUGUUUAGCGAUGACAUAUCAGUUUCUCCUUUUUAUCUAAUAAAUACAAUCUCUUGCACAGGCAGAGAUCCCAGCAGAAGUAUUUAGAUGAAGAAUUAGCUCAAGCAGUGAGAGCAAAUAAAAACCCCAGAGAGAUGCAUUUGUAGCGCUGCUAAGCCUUGCAAUGUUCAGGCUUCAAGCGAAGACCAUCAAGAUGAUUUUCCACUGACUCUUGCAAAUCAGUCUGACUCCCACAAACUGCUGAUGACACAUGCUUUGCAAAAGAAAAAGCCAUCUCUUCUUGCUUUGGACGGGGUCAUUUGCUGCAUCCUCUGUGCAGCCUUCUGAUUGCAGAGGGAUGCACCAGGAGUCAGCACAGUGCUGACCAUGAGUCUCCUCUCCCAGCACAGCUGCUUUACACAAGGCUCCCUGCAACACCUGCGGACUUGCAAAGGGGAAUGCAGCGUCUAACAUACACCAGGAAUGUCACAGUGAGGUUGGGGAGGCGCAAGUGCUGUGUGAAGGGCAGUGCAAGGGAAGCUCGGACCCAACCAACCUUCUGCUAGAGGAAUGUCCCUUCUUCUAUCAGGUGCCCUCCUCGCUGCGUGCUAGGUGUGAAAAAUCCCACGUGUAUUUGCACGGAUUGAAGAGUUGACAAGACAGUGAGAACAAAGCCAUAUGCUGCAUGUCAUCAUUUAUAUCCCACACUUUCUAAAUCCCCCACCAGGAUCACAGUAUUUUUCUCACUUGUGAGUUUCAUGGAAGGAAAAUAGAAGCCUAAUAGAAAGCAGAAGGAGCUCCAUGUUUUCUGCUUCAGCAUCACCUGCUGGUUCCAAUGGGAUCUGCAAAGUGGUGGAAGGGCUCGUGAGGGGUCGUGCAGGCGGUGCACAGUAACCCAUUUUGCAGGCUGUGGGGUUUCUAAUGGGAUGCGUAGGCGCUGCUCCAUAAUGGCUCAUCACCUGAAGACGUGAAUGAAGAAAACCAGGUCAGGGAGGACAGGAAUAAGGCAGAACUGUUAACUCGUUUAAAUUUUACUGUCAUACUCUGAGAUUCGCAGUGAUGAGGAGGCAUUAAAAGGCAUUCCUGUACAAAUCUUAACCCCCACCCACUGACUGCAGGACUGAGCUGCUGCACUACUGGGUUAUAGUGGAGGCAGCACCGAGACCAUUGUAUAACCUCAUCUGUCCUCUGUGGAAGCCUGAAGUCUGCAGGAAAGCACAAAUCUAAACCUCUAGAAGUAUAAUUGACCCCGAGGUAAGGGAACAAUAUUAGAAAUGCCAUUUCCCCUCUCUUUCCCUUCCCAUUUCCUCAGCCCUCAUUCAGAUUUACAUAAAACCAGUUGAUAGCUUGAGAUAAUGCUUCUUAAUGCUUGUAGGGUCAUCUCAUGCAAGGAAAAGAUCUGAAUAGAGUUUUCAAUUUUUUGAAUUUAUUUAUUUAUUUUUUUACAAUUUAAUGAAAAGUUGGGGAUUUUUUGCCCUCGAGCCCAUCCUCUUGCACAGCUGACCCUCAGUGCAGGAGAGGGACCCAAUAACUACACCAAACCCCGGCUGUGUGGAAACCUGACCAGUGCAGAUCUUUGAUGGCAUUAGAAAUAGAAGGCUUCAAUCACAUGUCAGGAGAUGGAGGUUUGGCACCGAGGGAUGUGGUCAGUGGGCAUGGUGGGGUGGGUUGGGGUUGGAUUUGGUGGUCUUGGAGGUCUUUUCCAGCUUCAGUGACUCUGUGAUCCUAUGCACAGAGAGCUGCCCUAUCCUAGGAGGACCUGUGAGGAGCUUUAUGCCUCCUCCAACCCCAGCCCUGUUCUCUAUGGGCUGCUAUUCUUCUGGUUUGUGUUUGAGAGCCCAGCAGUGAUAAGUGUGUUAGGCUAUCUACUCCUUACAGACUUUUCACACAGUUUUUCACAUUCAGAACUGGAAAUUGUAGUAGGAUAUCUGUCUCUCAGGAGCUUUUCACACAUUUUUUCACAUUCAAAGGCUUGGCUUCAUCAUACACACACAAUACCAGCAUCGGUUCUUCUGCCCAACCAGAUCCCAGACCGUCAGUGCCGGAAAAUUGCAGCCCAGGUGGCACCAAUGGGUCCCAUUGCUGUGCUGAGUGCAGGUGGGGCACGUUGGGAAGAAGGGAUAAAAGAGCCACGUGGUGGGUGGGAGGGAAUGUGGUGGAGUGGGAAGUGUGGGAGCAGCUCAAUAGGGAUGGCACUGCUUCCAGGUAAGGCUGUGGGUUGGAGGAAGGUGGGGUAGGGUCUCACUGGAGGUGAAGCAUUGUUUUUGGGAGGAGUAUCUGAGCAGAGUGGUGUGCUAUAGAACAAGGGGAGGCUGUUCUCUUGAGGGUGGCUGAUUAUUUUUCAGAAGGAGCUGUGAGUAUGGGGGUUGUAUGGCUGGGUGCUGUCCCUGGGGCACCGUUUAGAGGUGUUACCCUUUUCCAUCAAAGCUUUAGGCCCUGGUUUUUGGCUCCUGCAAAGCAGCACAGCUCUGCUGGAACCAACUCAUCCCAGCAGAGCAGUUGACUCUCAAUCCCACAUAACAUUAUGAAAUUUGAAGCAUAUGUACAGCGCUGCUGGCAUGGCUCUUUGCAUGACAUCUUCAGAACGAGCUUGACAGUCACAUAAAUAGCAUAUGUGAGAAGGCCUUAUGGAUCUGCUGCUUGUUGCAUAUUAUUUACAUACAUAUUCUGUACCUAGCUGAUGGCUCUGCUGCAUUUGUCUUCCUUUUAUCUCUCUUUUUUUUCUUCCUAGUGAUGGUUUUGCCAGGGCCUGGAAUCUUCUAAAGGCAGGUAUUCAAACCUCUAAAAAAUGGAUAGGAAUGUAAUUCCCACUACAAUUCCUUGAAAUCUCCAGUAAGCAUCUAUAACUUCCUCUUGCUAGAGAAUGGAACAGGAGAAUGCUUCAGGGGCUGCACUCAGGUGGGACAGGACUGUGGGGACAAGCUGCCCAACAGCAAGUUAGUGAGCAUCUGUUGUUAUUGAUCCAAAUAACAACAAGAUCUUGAGUGACACCGCCUUGAGAAAAGAAAGCUCUGAGGGAAGCAACCAGCAAAUGGCUGCUGAAUAUCUCAGUGCUGGGCUAUUUUGCAGUAGAUUUGUUGUUCUAUGAUGCAGUGCAGAUGUGGCGAGCAGGUCAUUGCUCUGAAGGGCUUUUGCCAUCUGAGCAUGGAGUUGUGCCCUUCCCUAAGGGACAAGAGGGUGAGAUGCUGGGAUGGGGCUUGGAGGAUCUGCGUGCGUCGUUGCUUCUGUCUUACUGGUGGCUGUGUAAAUAGCACAGCUGCUAUCUCCUUCUCCUAAAUCAGAGCCCUUCCCUCUCCUGGCACCUGGGCUGUGGGGGCCCACAGUACUGAGCAACAGUCACUGGGUGCCUGGGUGACUUUGGGUACAUGGAGUGGGGGGCCAACAUCCAUGUCCUGGGGAGGGAAUGGCCGGAGGGAGGAGGGUUUGCCUCGUGAGACUAGAGAGAUUUGCUCACUUCCAAGUUGAUGGGUUUGAGAUGGAAAAAGGAAUGAGACUGUAAAGAGUAAUAUAAUGUUACAGAGAAGAUGGCUAAUGGGCUCAUUCAGAACCACCUGAAAUGAUCACUCCCUGGGAAAUUGUGAAUAAUGGUGGCAAACAGUAAAAAAUAUCAGCGAAGGGGGUGACGUCAGGCACUCGCCUUCUCCUCUUAGAACUUGAGGGAUUUUGCUUUAAAUGAAUUCAUGAUGUGAGCAUGAUUGGCUUGAAUUACCUGUAAGCAGUGAGGAUCAGCUUGCCACCAUGCAGGCUGUCCUGCAGAAUACAGGUGGCUGCUGACGUUAAGUUACACCCCUUAUUGAGGGCCCUGCAGUGAUACCUGAGGGCUGUGGGACCCCCCCCACUGUGGGAGACUGCUGUUCCUCUGGAUGUGGCUGAAGGGUAUGUCCAAGACACGCAAGGAACAUGGGAGGAAUUGAGCAGAACUGAAGCAGCUCUUCUUGUGCUCAGGUUUUGGAGGCGGAAUGGCUCUCUCUUCUCCCACUUUGUGCUCCCGGGGGAUGGAGUGGGAGCAGCUGUAUUCCCUGGCGUAGUAACCACAUGGAUUUGGGUGCUGGAGAGCAAAUAGGAGGAGAAUGAUGUGAGGAAAAGUGGAGAGAUUUCUGUUGUAUUUAUGCCUGAGGUGGGUAGGAAUUACAUUUAUUUUUCUGUCCUACUGCUUUACAAGAGCAAUAAGUUGAUUCCAGUUUUACUGCUGAGGUGCACCCAGGGAUCAGCUGUCUCUUGAGUGAGAUUUUUAUUGGAUGCUGUGCCCAUUGUGGAUCCGUCCUCGCCUGCAGCCUCGGCUGUGGGCUGGGAUUUUGGGGUGCAGGGAGCAGGCACAGAUCACAUCCUGAUUCUGACACGUGUGUUGGGAGCAGAAGCACGGAGCAGGGAUGGGAGAGCUCUGCUGCGUCUGCUGUCUUCGUGCACUCGUCUGGGUGUAUAUUCAUGGUGUGAUGUGCACGGGUUGGAUCCCCAUUGUGAGCUAUCCCUGAGUAUCUCCUUCCUCAUGGAAGGAAAAGAGGAAAGGAUGUGGCGUCCCAUUGGCCCCACUUCCUUUGGUGGGCUUUAGGGAUGUCCCAGUGCAGGUUGAGACCUGGAGGAGCCUUUUUUUCUGAUGUUGGUUGUUCCCAGGCCCCUGCUUCUUCCUACUGAACUCUUACUGAUCUUUAACCUAUCAGUUCUGAUGCUUAGCAUCCCUGAAAAGGGACUGCGGACACUUCUGCCACCUCCAAAAGGAGCCUGAUGGAGCAAAUAUGGAAGCUACAAUGAAUUCAUAUUGCAAAUAUUGAAGUCAGCGUGCCCUCUCCUUAAUAGAUGUUAUUUCUCAUUCUUCAAAGCAGUUCAUCAGUGAUGGAAGGCGGAUAAUCCACUUCUGGAAUCCUUCUUCCCUCGCGUUCUUGCAUGAUUUAUAACAUAGCUGGAGGAAGAGAAUUUGUCAGCACCAUCUCUGUGAAGUAAUGCUGAAUCCCAUUGCAGGAGGGACUCUGGAGAGGUGAUUUUUGAGCCUGAGAAAUGGUUGUUGUUUUUUCCAUUCUGCCCUGACUUUUCAUUCAUUACUUCCUGCCAGCUCCUCUGAUGCUGUUUGCCAUAGAUCUGUGGCAUUACGUAAAGCAGUCAGUGCUCAUAAACAGACCCCAGCAUCUCUCCUGUCUUGCUGUGCCAUCGCAGGGUGAGCAGGGACUGCUCUCUUCCACAGCUUGGCUGCCCCAGGUCUCCCUUUCCAUGCUUGUUCUGCACGUUUUCCACCUCUGGAAAGUUCUUGCUCCAAUAUCUCUCUCCACCAUGCAGUUCUUCCAUAUAAAAUGCUGGUACCUGCUCUGGUUGUUUCCUCGGUGCUGAAAGAUGCAGUGCUCGGUGGUGCUGCUCAGCAGUGAUCUGGUGAAGGGAGCAGAGACUCUCAGAGCUGACCCUUGAAAAGCAUGAACUUUUGAUCCACAAAGCAGGACCUUUCGGGCUUACAGCAGCGAUUAAUGGCAGAGAACAAAGCUACCUGCCCGUUGCAUCUAUUUCUCACCCUUCUAAAUAGCUUAACCUAGCUCCGCAAUAGGGGAACAAGUGGCUUGAUCAACGGCACUGUGCUUCCAAGGGUGAUGUGUGCCAGUGCCAUCAGUUCUGAUGGGAGAAGGGUGUGCACGUCAACCAGAGGUGCUCUCAGUGCUCAUAGCACAGGCAACGAUGGGAGAAAUGAGUCUCCUGUGCACAUUGCUGGAUUUUGGAGUAAUGGUUAAUAUCCAAAGAACACAUUCCACCUGCCUGUCUUUGGUGAGAGUGCAAAUGUAGCUAGAACUCUGUAUCUGCUUCGUGCCCAUCAGCGCAGCAGUGAUAGAUGGGUUUCUGACCCCCUGCUCUCCUAGCAGCCCAGCACACCCUGCAUCCCCCAACCUGUCUUCUUCUCUCUGUUAGAAAUAAUUUCCCAUCUUGCAAAAUUAAUUCUCUGCUCACAGUCGCCUUGAUUAAAUGGCACAGCAAAGUGUGCUGAAGGUGGCAGAACAGCUCUGACAGAGGGGCUUCACCUCCUGAAAGGAAAGGCAUAGAGUUGUGGGCUUCUGCUGCUAUGGAGUGCAGGGGACUGAGGGCUGCUCUCUGCAAAAGCAGCAGACAUUCUCCAUGUCAUGGAACAACGUUUGUGAAGUUAACCAAAUUGAAGCAACACCAAAUGCAGCCAUUGGCACCGAUCUGUUAUGGAUAUUCUAAUUGUUUACCCCAUUUGUGUAUAAUUUUGGCUUGAUAUUUAAUUCUGCAGAUUCACUCAGGGUCAGGCUGGAGGGGCUCUGGGCACGCGAUGGAGAUGUCUCUGUUCACUGCAGGGAGUGUUGGAUCGAUGGCCUUUAGGGGUCCCUUCCACCUCAAAUGAUUCUGUGAUUGGGUUGGGGUCACACUGAGCAGAACGGAGGGAUUGGGACUGAAGGCGCAGCAGGAAUAUGUUGGGUUUUCCUAUGUGAGAGGACGUUAAGCAGCGUGAAGGCUGUCCAGGUGAGCUCUCUGCUCUGAUUUACUGCUGUUCUUCCUUCAGCCUCUGAAAAUCAACCCAUUAACAAUUAAAGUAAUGUCUCAUCCAGAAUUUAUUUCACACUCCCGUUAAUGGACUGACCAAAACACCUUCAAACGCCGGGGCUCUCCUGCAUCACACAGAGGGCUGUAUCUCUGAUGUGUGCUUUUCCCCUUCGUUCCCUCUCAAAGCUGGGACCUGCUUUCAUGGAAGCAUUUAGGAACACUGCUGCAUGUUCCCAUACCAUUACUGGUGUGAGGAAGGUGCAGCUUCUGUGUUAAAUAUCUCCAGACAAGCUUUAAUGUGGAACUGGAGCAGCAAGGGCUGUCUGCUGGGCCCAAGCUGCCCUCUUGGGCUGCCUGUGGGCUCUGGAAGUGAAGCAGUGUUUGCUGCCCAAGGAGACUGUACUCCUGUCUGUCUCCUGGGCCAUACCAAUGUGUGCUGAACUGUUGGGUUGCACUGGAAAACUGCUUCUGCCAUCUGUGAUAGGUGAGAGGGGCAGCAGAGCGUGAGGCCCUGCAGGCAGGGUGCCCUUGGUGUGGGAUCAGAACAGGGCAGACCCCACGGUCCCCUCUGCCCCCCAUGCGUGGGGAUGGCAGACAGCUGUGGUCACAUCCCAUGGCUGGAUUCGGGGGGGCAGGGUCUGCAGCUCCGAAGCUCCACGUGCUCCUCAAACUGAGACAAAGCGGGGGAUGCUCUCGGUUAUACCCCCCCCUCCCCCCCCUCACUUUAGCCACCAUAGCUCCGACAGCCCCGGCUCUCAGCCCUCCGUGCCAUUUGGCCGCUUUCUAGGUUAAAUUCCCCAAAUUCUGCCUCUGCUCUGGGAGCGCUCAGCCCUCCCGGCUGCGGAGCGGCCCCAGGUGGGUGCGGGACAUUGCCGGGGGCUGCGGGGGUUCGGUGCUGGAGCCCCUCUUCCAGCUGCGGGGUUACGGGGGGAGGGCGGCAGCUCCGAGCGGUGGGGACGGAGCCCGCAGGUGUGGGUUCGCUCUGCUUUGGUGGGUUUGGCAUUUUCCUUUUUUUUUUUCUCCUUUUAAUCCAUCCCCUCCCUCUUCCCCCC